This 503-nucleotide long non-coding RNA is filed under the name Pan troglodytes (chimpanzee). RNAcentral's name for it is "long non-coding RNA NONPTRT016192". The record is from RNAcentral. Lineage: Eukaryota; Metazoa; Chordata; Mammalia; Primates; Hominidae.
GGCUGGGCCGGUGGUCACCUAAAUAAAAUCCUCCUGUUCCACCAAGUGGUCUCUCCAGCCUCCUGAUUCCCACAACAUUUUGGCGAGCCAGCCAGGAGGGGAGACUACAGGUUUACUGUCUCCUUUGGCUGUGGGACUGGAGCCCCGGGCUGGGGGAGACCCGUGACCCAAGGCACCAUUGGGAGAACUUCAACCCGGAGGGGAGAUUGGCUCUCCCAUGACCCGGCGCCCCUCCCUGACAGUGCAUUGGAACCUAAGGGGCUACAGGACGAUUCCAGGACUUCACGCUACAGGACUGCAUUGCAGGAAUUGUGCCUUGGAUCCAUCCAUCCAGUCAGCUGAAACCAGCAGUCCAGGACCAGCCAACAGGACCUAGACCAUGCAACCCAGCUGAUCCUACGAUGGAACCAAGGUGCCAAUGAGAUGACAACAGCCCUGCUCUGGUCACUCCGGAAGCUGACCAGUCCACGCAUGGCUGAAGCUUGAGGAGACAACAGCCCUGC